CCUACGGGCGGCAGCAGUGAGGAAUAUUGGUCAAUGGACGAGAGCCUGAACCAGCCAAGUAGCGUGAAGGAUGACUGCCCUCUGGGUUGUAAACUUCUUUUAUAUGGGAAUAAACUGUUCCACGAGUGGGCUUUUGUAUGUACCAUAUGAAUAAGGGUCGGCUAACUCCGUGCCAGCAGCCGCGGUAAUACGGAGGAUCCGAGCGUUAUCCGGAUUUAUUGGGUUUAAAGGGAGCGUAGGUGGAUUGUUAAGUCAGUUGUGAAAGAUUGCGGCUCAACCGUAAAAUUGCAGUUGAAACUGGCAGUCUUGAGUACAGUAGAGGUGGGCAGAAUUCGUGGUGUAGCGGUGAAAUGCUUAGAUAUCACGAAGAACACCGAUUGCGAAGGCAGCUCACUGGACUGCGACUGACGCUGAGGCGCGAAAGUGUGGGUAUCAAACAGGAUUAGAUACCCCUGUAGUC
This 460-nucleotide ribosomal RNA is filed under the name uncultured bacterium. Its description in RNAcentral is "partial 16S ribosomal RNA". It matches the Rfam family "Bacterial small subunit ribosomal RNA", at positions 338 to 795 of the family's 1533-position model. The record is from RNAcentral.